Molecule: ribosomal RNA, 253 nt
Filed under: uncultured bacterium
Lineage: Bacteria
Description: partial 16S ribosomal RNA
Rfam family: Bacterial small subunit ribosomal RNA
Source: RNAcentral
UACGAAGGGGGCAAGCGUUGUUCGGAAUUACUGGGCGUAAAGGGCGCGUAGGCGGCUUAUCAAGUCAGGCGUGAAAUUCCCGGGCUCAACCUGGGGGCUGCGCUUGAUACUGAUUGGCUUGAAUGCGGGAGAGGAUAGUGGAAUUCCCAGUGUAGAGGUGAAAUUCGUAGAUAUCGGGAGGAACACCAGUGGCGAAGGCGACUACCUGGCCUGUUCUUGACGCUGAGGCGCGAAAGCUAGGGGAGCAAACGGG